AAUCGUGUGGCACUUAUCCUGAUUAUUUCCUCAGUCAUUUCCGGAAUACUUAUAGCUGAUGCAUUCGUCUUUAUACAAUUUUAUUUGCAGCAAUAACAUUAAUUGGCUAAACUUUAAAAACAAUCUUUUACGUAGUGAGAAAAAAAAAACGUUUGUCACUACUGAUAUUUGUUUCAGUAGUUUUCCUUAUAAGUAUUUCUAUUAGGUACUUUUAUAUUAAAGUCACC
Molecule: long non-coding RNA, 227 nt
Filed under: Mytilus galloprovincialis (Mediterranean mussel)
Lineage: Eukaryota; Metazoa; Mollusca; Bivalvia; Mytilida; Mytilidae
Source: RNAcentral